Molecule: ribosomal RNA, 378 nt
Filed under: uncultured soil bacterium
Lineage: Bacteria
Description: bacterial SSU rRNA
Rfam family: Bacterial small subunit ribosomal RNA
Source: RNAcentral
UCGAACGGCAGCACGGGGGCAACCCUGGUGGCGAGUGGCGAACGGGUGAGUAAUACAUCGGAACGUGUCCUGUAGUGGGGGAUAGCCCGGCGAAAGCCGGAUUAAUACCGCAUACGAUCUACGGAAGAAAGCGGGGGAUCCUUCGGGACCUCGCGCUAUAGGGGCGGCCGAUGGCAGAUUAGCUAGUUGGUGGGGUAAAGGCCUACCAAGGCGACGAUCUGUAGCUGGUCUGAGAGGACGACCAGCCACACUGGGACUGAGACACGGCCCAGACUCCUACGGGAGGCAGCAGUGGGGAAUUUUGGACAAUGGGGGAAACCCUGAUCCAGCAAUGCCGCGUGUGUGAAGAAGGCCNNNGGGUUGUAAAGCACUUUUGUC